Molecule: long non-coding RNA, 364 nt
Filed under: Carica papaya (papaya)
Lineage: Eukaryota; Viridiplantae; Streptophyta; Magnoliopsida; Brassicales; Caricaceae
Description: long non-coding RNA (CPAP_LNC001221)
Source: RNAcentral
AUGUAACCCCAUCACGAAGUCCAUUGUGAUAUGUUCCUACUUCCACUUCGGGAUUAGUAAUGGCUAAAGUAGUCCGUCUGGGCGUUGAUACUCUACCUUAAUCUGUCGACAUACCAGACACUUGGAAACAAUAUCGGCUAUCUCUCUUUUCAUCUUGCUCCACCAAAAUCGGAAUUGUAUACUUUGAUAUAUUUUAGUACUUAUGGGAUGUAUGACGAACUUUAAGCUAUGAGCCUCUGUCAUAAUUUCAUUUUCAGUUCACUGUCAUAUGGAACAUACAACCUGUCCUGAAACCUGAGCAACCCAUUAGCAGAGACUCGAAAUUCUAAAUUUACUCCCUAUUUUACAUCCUUUUGAGAGCUGC